CCAUUUUACAAAUGAAGGCUUCAUCUGA
Molecule: non-coding RNA, 28 nt
Filed under: Mus musculus (house mouse)
Lineage: Eukaryota; Metazoa; Chordata; Mammalia; Rodentia; Muridae
Source: RNAcentral